Prunus dulcis (almond) is the source of this 940-nucleotide long non-coding RNA. RefSeq lists it as uncharacterized. The transcript is spliced from 2 exons. The record is from RefSeq and is a predicted model, not a curated record. Lineage: Eukaryota; Viridiplantae; Streptophyta; Magnoliopsida; Rosales; Rosaceae.
CACGCCUCUCUCUCUCUCUCUCUCACACAGAGGCACACAUAAACAGAGACCCAUGCACUUCACUUCUCUCUAUAAAAUCUCUUUCUUUCUAAUUGGGUUUCUGAGGCAUGGUUGCUGGCCAAAUCUGGAAUAGCCUAUUUCAUGGUUGUCUACCAUUUGAAGGAAAUCUUCUUCUUUGGGCAGAGCCCUUCCCGUCCACCAGCUAUACCAGUCUCUAGCUCAACACACGGUGCUUUGUUUAAGGAGGUUAGUCGGUAAAACCCAUUUGAUCAGUGACAGUAGAAGAGGCUUCAAAUUAGAGACCAGUGGUGAUAUAUUGCUUUGGUGGGAGAACAGAGAAGUCAGAAAAAUUAAUUGACAAUUGAGUAGAAAAAUUAAUUGACAAUUGAGUAAAAAAAUUAAGAAUAACAACGCUGGAAAUACCUCAGCGAAUCUGUAAGAUUUAAUCCCCUUCCUGAUAGAACCCAAGGGAGCUGGAAAGUGAGCACUUUGGAAGAGCAGAGGAAGAUGAGAAGAAUGGAAACGAAGAAGGCAAGCAAUUUGGUGGGAAAAAAGGUGGUUCUGUAAAACAGUGGAACCCUCCAGAUUUAAACAGUGAAGAACCAACAGCUCUCCCAUUUUACCCCUGUAGCUCUCCAACCAGCUAGUUGAAAUCCAACCAGACACCUCUCAACCCUAAACAACAGCUAGUUACAUCCCAAGGAAAGAGAGGGCAAAACGGGAAAAAUACAGAACAAUCAGUCAAGGGCAAAAUGGAAAUUUUACUGUGCAAAAGGAGAGGAAAAGCUGGCUGUACAGUUUUAAAUAGAGGCAUUUUCGUAAUUUUACUGUGCUUAGCUACAGUGUUUAGUUGCAUUGGGUUUUAGUAUAUAUAGAAAAGAAUUUAAGAACCUGUGACAUGUACAGAAAAGCUUCGCAGUCAAGAACUAUAUUUUUCAUA